CAGCCAGGGCACAUUUGUCCAUUUUUAAGGCAUUAAACUGAGAAGAACCACUGAGGAAAGCAUGCCACGGUCUUUCCCAAAAUCCCUGUGCCUUAAGGAACAACCAAGAAGUUAACUGGUCAGGGAAAAGAUUUCUUUUGGGAUUUCAGAAGCCAUCGCUGUGUGCAGAAAUCCAUGACCUGCCCAUGACUUCUACAACCCGGAGGACUUGCCUGACAUUACUGAAAUGCACAGGGGACAGAUUCUGUGGCAGGUGCCGCAUUUUAUCCAGCUCACUCGUGCUAGUUCCUAAGACAUCUUAAUUCUUACACGUACGCAUAAUCGUGAUAUUUUGCCAUGAAUUACAAUAUGUUCCACAAUUAUCGACCAUUUUAAUUUUUAGCUUUCUAACCUGGGACUACUAUAAUAAAAAGAAUUAAUAAAUCCAAAAGUAGUAGUGGAAAAAAAAAAA
Chlorocebus sabaeus (green monkey) is the source of this 451-nucleotide non-coding RNA. The record is from RefSeq and is a predicted model, not a curated record. Lineage: Eukaryota; Metazoa; Chordata; Mammalia; Primates; Cercopithecidae.